Long non-coding RNA from Oncorhynchus kisutch (coho salmon), 4052 nucleotides. Lineage: Eukaryota; Metazoa; Chordata; Actinopteri; Salmoniformes; Salmonidae. The record is from Ensembl.
CCUAACUGCGUGUGUAUGUUUCUGUGAGUGUGAUCAAUCUUCCAUGAUUCCGUUUAUUUUGAGAUCAAACCCACUCCACCAGUGAUCUAGUUUGUUAUGAUGUCAGAGCUGAAGUGUAACGAUGACGCUGAAUGAAGUGAUGAAAACAGGAGUGUUGUCUCUGGCAGCCCCUGAUGUACUGGCUCAGAAACCCUACAGCAAGGCAGUGGACUGAUGGUCCAUCGGAGUCAUUGUUCUGUAACUUCUUCUUUCAUGUUAGCUCCGAGGUUUCUCCUGGCACUGCUGAGAGGACGGCCUGCUCUUAUGAUGCCUUAUUUAUCCUUCCUUCAUCUUUCCGCUGAGCUAAAGACUAUCGUCCACCUGAUAGAGAAGGACCCAAGGAUAUGCUACACAGGUGACCAGGCUCUUCAGCAGUCCUGGUACAGUGCACGCACACACACACCGUCUUGCACCUAUUCUUGUGCCCCACCCCAACAGAGCCUGGCCCUCAUGUCUCUCUCCCUCCCUCAGGAUUGCUGGAGACACAGCCCUGGAUAAGAACAUCCGUGAAUCUGUCAGCGCCAAGUGACAGGUGGGUUACUUUUCCUGCAUUCUUCUGCUAUCAACUAUUCUAACUUCAUGUAACAUUUUGUGACCUUUAUGGUCCACAAUGGUAUUUUACAGUGAGGGUCCCUUUACAACUGGUUUCUAGAGGGUUUAAAAUAGUUUAUUUGUGGUUAAUUAAUCAUUUAUAUAUUUGUACGUCUGAUGGGAAUGUGUUUGAUCCUGCAGCAAGCAUUUAAUGCCACAGCUGUGGUCCGUUACGAGGCUUCUCCAGGUGGCUCCCAGCCAGACCACCCUGCCCAGCCCCUGUAGAAGUCACCUUCUGCUGGCUGAGGCUAAAGAAUACACAGGUCAAUGGUGGGGAGGAGGGAAGAGGGAAUCGAUGAUGCCAACAGAGAAGGUCACUUGCACUAGAUUGGGGAGAGUGAAGGAUGAGGAGAUGAAAGGAAAGGAGAGGAAGGCUGAAUGAGCGGUGUCAUACGUACCCAGGGUGGCAGGUAUCCUAGCGGUUAAGAGCAUUGGGUCAGUCAGCGGUUGAGAGCAUUGGUAAUUGAAAGGUCGCUGGUUCGAAUCCCUGAGCCAUCAAGAUGGAAAAAUCUGCCAUUCUACCUUUGAGAAAGGCAGUUAACCCCCAACAACUGCUCCCUGGGUGCCGAUGACGUCGAUUAGUGCAUCCAUCAGCACCUCUCUGAUUCAGGGGGAGUGAGUUAAAUGCGGAAGACACAUUUCCAUUGAAUGCAUUCAGUGCAACUGACUAGGUAGCCCCUAAUACUGGGUGAUAUUAUUUUGGGACAGAGCUUGGACAGUGUUUUUUUAACUUAUACUUUUUUUAAUGUACGUCUGCCAUUUUCAUCUCUGUAUUUCUGUACAUGUUUUUUAUUGUCAUUAUCCUUCCCCCUUGACAACAUAGAAAGGACUGAUUCACAUACGUAACCUGCAUGAUCAGAGGACAGGUAGACAGGUCCUCAUACGUAUGUGGUACCACCCAUUGUGGAAUAAUUUCUGCACAACAGAUAGUGUAACUAAUACCUCACGAGAGAUGGACUUACAUGUAGGGCCGUUCCUCGUUGUGUCACACCCUGAUCUGUUUCACCGGUCUUUGUGAUUGUCUCCACCCCCCUCCAGGUGUCACCUAUCUUCCCCACUAUCCCCUGUGUAUUUCUACCUGUGUUCUCUGUUUGUCUGUUGCCAGUUCGUCUUGUUUGUUCAAGCCAACCAGUAUUUUGUGUCUCAGCUCCUGCCUUUUCCAGUUUCUCGCCUUCUUGGUUUUGACCCUUGCCUGUCCUGUCUCCGAGCCCACCUGCCUGAGCACUCUGCCUGCCCCUGACCGUGAGCCUGCCUGCCAUCCGGUAUUGUUUCCCCACCUCUGGCUGCCUUAACCUGUCUAUUGCCUGCCCCUGUUGAGAUAUUAAACUAUUGUUUAUUUGACGUGGUUUGCAUCUGGGUCUUACCUUCAUACCUGAUGCAAUGAACAAAGAAUAGGUCUCAGUUAACCCAUAGUUUUACUCCAUGAUGUUUUAAACAACAUUCUAACCUGAAGGGGAAAUACGAUCCUGUUGAUAGACUCUUUUGGGGGAGAAUAUCAGCCUGGCUUUGAACUGGUCAAAAUUUCAUCCAUUUAAGUUAAGACCAUGGAGGAUGAAAUGAGCUCAACCUUCUUGCUUAAAAGCAGGGAGUAGAUGUGUGUGAAUACAAAACCACAUUUAUAAAUGUGGAUAUGUUUUUCACCAUGUAGAUACAACCAACUAACAUUCCCCUUUGGAUCACCCUUCCGUGGAUCUCUACUUCAUUAUUUAAGACAUUGUAUGUGUACAGAGAGAACUUGAAUUAGAGAAUGUAAAUAAUAAUCACUCUCACCAUAAGGUCAGGUUAAAUUGUUGACACUUUUGGUAACUUGUUACACAUAUAAACAACACUGGCAAAUAAACUAAUACUUAGACUUAACAAUAAAACAAUACAAGUAUUUUAUUUUUUCAACACAUGUCAUUUAUGAAUUAUGUCUUGAUAAUUAAUUCCCAAAUUGAAAUAAAAUCAGAUUUUCUAGAUUCAUGAUUGUUAGUUCGCUGCUUUUGGAGUGAGGGAAGUGGGUCUCCCUCUGCCAGGAGGUGAGGUUGGACAGGUUGAGGAAGGAGAUGGUCUGGAUGGUCUUUACAAGGCCCUUGUCAUCAGUCAGAACACAACUACUCCCCCUGGAGGACAAGAGAUGGAGGAGAGGGGAGAACAAAGUGGGAAAGGGGUGAAGAGAGAGGAAUAUGAAAAAUAUCAAAAUAAUGAUCGAAGAAUACUGCCAGUUAAACAUGAUGUAAAAUUCUUAAGACUGGACAUACUUAAACAAGGAGUGGACAAUCUUCGCCCCAUUAAUGACUAGUCCAUAAUGUCAUUAAUAGCUUUUUUGUCAUUUCUCCUAGCAUAUAGUGACAGAUGAAAGAAAGAAAGAAUGAUAGAGAUAAAAGGUGUAGAACCUCUCAGACUAUGGUCCACACCCGUUUCCUGACCAGCAUCACAGUGAUAAAGAUAGCCAGGUGACAUGGAAGAUCUGCAGAGAUGAGACAAUAGAAACGGACUGGGGGUGGGUGGUUGUGACUGUGUGCUGGUGUGUGUGUCUGUAAUACUACUAACCAAAGAUGUUGAGGCCACUGGAUGACGAUAUUGUUACCACCACACGGUCCUGUAAUCAAGGUGACAGACAGUGGCAAAUGCAAUACCGCUUUGCACACUCUUGCCUGCAUCUAGCUUAUCCAGGGUGUAUUCAUUAGUUUAAUGGUUGCAAACUAGAGUUUCUACUGGACAAAUUCAGGUAUGUUUAUCGCUGUUUCGUUUUGUUCCGUUUGCUUCUGCUUAAGAAAUGUUUUUCAACAGAAUCAGCGGAAUGAAUACACCCCUGAUCACACGCAAACACAGUUCACUUUCAUAGCAGCCACAAACAAACAGCAUGAUCACUUUGCUUGUUGUAAUUCCUUCUCACAUCUAUGGCUUGUCCUCCUCUCUCACCUUUUUCCUUCACUUGUGGACUUCAGUGCACAACACAUCAGCUGCCUGUGACUAGGUGAAAUAACUUUUCCAAGCCAAACCUUCAUAUCAUAACUGUUAACCGCUACACAACCUACAUUGUUGUCACUAUAUUACAGUGCAUUUGGAAAGUAUUCAGAUUCCUUGACUUUUUCCAACAUUUAUGUCAUUACAGCCUUAUUCGAAAAAUUAUUAAAUAAAACAAAAUGUCCUCAUCAAUCUACACACAAUACCCCACAAUGAAAAAGCGAAAACAGGUUUUAGACAAUUUUGCAAAUUAAUAAAAUAAAAAAACAGAAAUACCUUAUUUCAUAAGUAUUCAGACUCUUUGCUAUGAGACUCGAAAUUAAGCUCAGGUGCAUCCUGUUUCGAUUCAUCAUCCUUGAGAUGUUUCUACAACUUGAUUGGAGUCCACCUGUGGUAAAUUCAAUUGAUUUGACAUUAUUUGGAAAAGCACAAAGUUGUCUAUAUAAGGUCUGACAGUUGACAGUGCAUGUCAG